RNAcentral lists this long non-coding RNA (374 nucleotides) under Homo sapiens (human). Its description in RNAcentral is "HSALNT0031998". The record is from RNAcentral. Lineage: Eukaryota; Metazoa; Chordata; Mammalia; Primates; Hominidae.
ACUCGAGCCUGCCCUCCCUAGGACCUGCCUAACUUCUCUCCAGCUGCGUCGGCCUCGCAGUGCAGCGGCCCGCGGAGCCUCACACAGGCCGCAGCCGGUUCCUUUCAGCGGCCUGUCCACGCCCCGGAGACGCCCAGGGGAAGGAGAGGGCGCGGCUACAUGGGGAAUGGGAGCUGUGUUACUACCUCCACCCUGGCCCGCCAGCGUCUGGACGAAGAACCGCCGCCAGACCAGUUUGUUAACAUCCCUGCAGUAACCAAAAACAUGAGCUGGAUAAGGAGGAGAAGAGGAGCUGGCCGAAUGAUUUUUAAGCAGAAGCUGAAUGUUCAAUAAGAAUAGAGUUGACACCUUCAGAGGAGAAGUAAGAAAUAGUU